GAUGAGUAGGGCGGGACACGUGGUAUCCUGUCUGAAUAUGGGGGGACCAUCCUCCAAGGCUAAAUACUCCUGACUGACCGAUAGUGAACCAGUACCGUGAGGGAAAGGCGAAAAGAACCCCGGCGAGGGGAGUGAAAAAGAACCUGAAACCGUGUACGUACAAGCAGUGGGAGCACGCUUAGGCGUGUGACUGCGUACCUUUUGUAUAAUGGGUCAGCGACUUAUAUUCUGUAGCAAGGUUAACCGAAUAGGGGAGCCGAAGGGAAACCGAGUCUUAACUGGGCGUUAAGUUGCAGGGUAUAGACCCGAAACCCGGUGAUCUAGCCAUGGGCAGGUUGAAGGUUGGGUAACACUAACUGGAGGACCGAACCGACUAAUGUUGAAAAAUUAGCGGAUGACUUGUGGCUGGGGGUGAAAGGCCAAUCAAACCGGGAGAUAGCUGGUUCUCCCCGAAAGCUAUUUAGGUAGCGCCUCGUGAAUUCAUCUCCGGGGGUAGAGCACUGUUUCGGCAAGGGGGUCAUCCCGACUUACCAACCCGAUGCAAACUGCGAAUACCGGAGAAUGUUAUCACGGGAGACACACGGCGGGUGCUAACGUCCGUCGUGAAGAGGGAAACAACCCAGACCGCCAGCUAAGGUCCCAAAGUCAUGGUUAAGUGGGAAACGAUGUGGGAAGGCCCAGACAGCCAGGAUGUUGGCUUAGAAGCAGCCAUCAUUUAAAGAAAGCGUAAUAGCUCACUGGUCGAGUCGGCCUGCGCGGAAGAUGUAACGGGGCUAAACCAUGCACCGAAGCUGCGGCAGCGACGCUUAUGCGUUGUUGGGUAGGGGAGCGUUCUGUAAGCCUGCGAAGGUGUGCUGUGAGGCAUGCUGGAGGUAUCAGAAGUGCGAAUGCUGACAUAAGUAACGAUAAAGCGGGUGAAAAGCCCGCUCGCCGGAAGACCAAGGGUUCCUGUCCAACGUUAAUCGGGGCAGGGUGAGUCGACCCCUAAGGCGAGGCCGAAAGGCGUAGUCGAUGGGAAACAGGUUAAUAUUCCUGUACUUGGUGUUACUGCGAAGGGGGGACGGAGAAGGCUAUGUUGGCCGGGCGACGGUUGUCCCGGUUUAAGCGUGUAGGCUGGUUUUCCAGGCAAAUCCGGAAAAUCAAGGCUGAGGCGUGAUGACGAGGCACUACGGUGCUGAAGCAACAAAUGCCCUGCUUCCAGGAAAAGCCUCUAAGCAUCAGGUAACAUCAAAUCGUACCCCAAACCGACACAGGUGGUCAGGUAGAGAAUACCAAGGCGCUUGAGAGAACUCGGGUGAAGGAACUAGGCAAAAUGGUGCCGUAACUUCGGGAGAAGGCACGCUGAUAUGUAGGUGAAGUCCCUUGCGGAUGGAGCUGAAAUCAGUCGAAGAUACCAGCUGGCUGCAACUGUUUAUUAAAAACACAGCACUGUGCAAACACGAAAGUGGACGUAUACGGUGUGACGCCUGCCCGGUGCCGGAAGGUUAAUUGAUGGGGUCAGCGCAAGCGAAGCUCUUGAUCGAAGCCCCGGUAAACGGCGGCCGUAACUAUAACGGUCCUAAGGUAGCGAAAUUCCUUGUCGGGUAAGUUCCGACCUGCACGAAUGGCGUAAUGAUGGCCAGGCUGUCUCCACCCGAGACUCAGUGAAAUUGAACUCGCUGUGAAGAUGCAGUGUACCCGCGGCAAGACGGAAAGACCCCGUGAACCUUUACUAUAGCUUGACACUGAACAUUGAGCCUUGAUGUGUAGGAUAGGUGGGAGGCUUUGAAGUGUGGACGCCAGUCUGCAUGGAGCCGGCCUUGAAAUACCACCCUUUAAUGUUUGAUGUUCUAACGUGGACCCGUGAUCCGGGUUGCGGACAGUGUCUGGUGGGUAGUUUGACUGGGGCGGUCUCCUCCUAAAGAGUAACGGAGGAGCACGAAGGUUGGCUAAUCCUGGUCGGACAUCAGGAGGUUAGUGCAAUGGCAUAAGCCAGCUUGACUGCGAGCGUGACGGCGCGAGCAGGUGCGAAAGCAGGUCAUAGUGAUCCGGUGGUUCUGAAUGGAAGGGCCAUCGCUCAACGGAUAAAAGGUACUCCGGGGAUAACAGGCUGAUACCGCCCAAGAGUUCAUAUCGACGGCGGUGUUUGGCACCUCGAUGUCGGCUCAUCACAUCCUGGGGCUGAAGUAGGUCCCAAGGGUAUGGCUGUUCGCCAUUUAAAGUGGUACGCGAGCUGGGUUUAGAACGUCGUGAGACAGUUCGGUCCCUAUCUGCCGUGGGCGCUGGAGAACUGAGGGGGGCUGCUCCUAGUACGAGAGGACCGGAGUGGACGCAUCACUGGUGUUCGGGUUGUCAUGCCAAUGGCACUGCCCGGUAGCUAAAUGCGGAAGAGAUAAGUGCUGAAAGCAUCUAAGCACGAAACUUGCCCCGAGAUGAGUUCU
RNAcentral lists this ribosomal RNA (2420 nucleotides) under Shigella sonnei. RNAcentral's name for it is "bacterial LSU rRNA". It matches the Rfam family "Bacterial large subunit ribosomal RNA", at positions 407 to 2812 of the family's 2925-position model. Lineage: Bacteria; Pseudomonadati; Pseudomonadota; Gammaproteobacteria; Enterobacterales; Enterobacteriaceae. The record is from RNAcentral.